UACGUAGGUGGCAAGCGUUGUCCGGAAUUAUUGGGCGUAAAGCGCGCGCAGGCGGCCUCUUGAGUCUGAUGUGAAAGCCCCCCGGCUCAACCGGGGAGGGCCAUUGGAAACUGGGAGGCUUGAGUAUAGGAGAGAAGAGUGGAAUUCCACGUGUAGCGGUGAAAUGCGUAGAGAUGUGGAGGAACACCAGUGGCGAAGGCGACUCUUUGGCCUAUAACUGACGCUGAGGCGCGAAAGCGUGGGGAGCAAACAGGG
RNAcentral lists this ribosomal RNA (255 nucleotides) under uncultured bacterium. Its description in RNAcentral is "partial 16S ribosomal RNA". It matches the Rfam family "Bacterial small subunit ribosomal RNA", at positions 524 to 777 of the family's 1533-position model. The record is from RNAcentral.